RNAcentral lists this transfer RNA (83 nucleotides) under Burkholderia contaminans. RNAcentral describes it as "tRNA-Gly". The record is from RNAcentral. Lineage: Bacteria; Pseudomonadati; Pseudomonadota; Betaproteobacteria; Burkholderiales; Burkholderiaceae.
GCCGCGUGAGCGACGGUGAUCGCAUGGCGCUGCCACCGUCGUCGUCGAUGCCGAGUUCGCCGAUCGCCUCGUCGUCGCGAUAC